GUGACCUCAAAUCAGGUAGGACUACCCGCUGAACUUAAGCAUAUCAAUAAGCGGAGGAAAAGAAACUAACAGGGAUUCCCCUAGUAACUGCGAGUGAAGCGGGAAAAGCUCAAAUUUAAAAUCUGGCGGUCUUUGGCUGUCCGAGUUGUAAUCUAGAGAAGUGUUAUCCGCGCUGGACCGUGUACAAGUCUCCUGGAAUGGAGCAUCAUAGAGGGUGAGAAUCCCGUCUUUGACAUGGACUGCCAGGGCUUUGUGAUGCGCUCUCAAAGAGUCGAGUUGUUUGGGAAUGCAGCUCAAAAUGGGUGGUAAAUUCCAUCUAAAGCUAAAUAUUGGCGAGAGACCGAUAGCGAACAAGUACCGUGAGGGAAAGAUGAAAAGAACUUUGGAAAGAGAGUUAAACAGUACGUGAAAUUGCUGAAAGGGAAACGCUUGAAGUCAGUCGCGUCGUCCAGGGAUCAACCUUGCUUUUGCUUGGUGCACUUUCUGGUUCGAUGGGUCAGCAUCAAUUUUGACUGUUGGAAAAAGGUCAAGGGAAUGUGGCAUCUUUGGAUGUGUUUAUAGCCCUUGGUCACAUACAAUGGUUGGGAUUGAGGAACUCAGCACGCCGCAAGGCCGGGUUUUAAACCACGUACGUGCUUAGGAUGC
This 645-nucleotide ribosomal RNA is filed under the name uncultured Cortinarius. RNAcentral describes it as "eukaryotic LSU rRNA". It matches the Rfam family "Eukaryotic large subunit ribosomal RNA", at positions 1 to 626 of the family's 3401-position model. The record is from RNAcentral. Lineage: Eukaryota; Fungi; Basidiomycota; Agaricomycetes; Agaricales; Cortinariaceae.